UAGGGAAUCUUCCGCAAUGGACGAAAGUCUGACGGAGCAACGCCGCGUGAGUGAAGAAGGAUUUCGGUUCGUAAAACUCUGUUGUUAGGGAAGAAAAAAUGUAUAGUAACUAUAUACAAAAGAGACGGUACCUAACCAGAAAGCCACGGCUAACUACGUGCCAGCAGCCGCGGUAAUACGUAGGUGGCAAGCGUUGUCCGGAAUUAUUGGGCGUAAAGCGCGCGCAGGUGGUUUAGAAAGUCUGAUGUGAAAGCCCACGGCUCAACCGUGGAGGGUCAUUGGAAACUAAUAAACUUGAGUGCAGGAGAGAAAAGUGGAAUUCCUAGUGUAGCGGUGAAAUGCGUAGAGAGUAGGAGGAACACCGGUGGCGAAAGCGGCUUUUUGGCCUGCAACUGACACUGAGGCGCGAAAGCGUGGGGAGCAAACAGG
Molecule: ribosomal RNA, 429 nt
Filed under: Verrucomicrobiota bacterium
Lineage: Bacteria; Pseudomonadati; Verrucomicrobiota
Description: Verrucomicrobia bacterium partial 16S ribosomal RNA
Rfam family: Bacterial small subunit ribosomal RNA
Source: RNAcentral